This 253-nucleotide unclassified non-coding RNA is filed under the name uncultured Gammaproteobacteria bacterium. Its description in RNAcentral is "contains 16S-23S intergenic spacer region". It matches the Rfam family "Bacterial small subunit ribosomal RNA", at positions 524 to 776 of the family's 1533-position model. The record is from RNAcentral. Lineage: Bacteria; Pseudomonadati; Pseudomonadota; Gammaproteobacteria.
UACAGAGGGUGCAAGCGUUAAUCGGAAUUACUGGGCGUAAAGCGCGCGUAGGCGGUUUUGUAAGUCGGAUGUGAAAGCCUCGGGCUUAACCUGGGAAUUGCAUUCGAUACUGCAUAACUAGAGUACGGUAGAGGGAAGUGGAAUUUCCGGUGUAGCGGUGAAAUGCGUAGAUGUCGGAAGGAACACCAGUGGCGAAGGCGACUUCCUGGGCCAGUACUGACGCUGAGGUGCGAAAGCGUGGGGAGCAAACAGG